Molecule: transfer RNA, 74 nt
Filed under: Mycobacteroides abscessus subsp. abscessus
Lineage: Bacteria; Bacillati; Actinomycetota; Actinomycetes; Mycobacteriales; Mycobacteriaceae
Description: tRNA-Thr(cgt)
Rfam family: tRNA
About the family: Transfer RNA (tRNA) molecules are approximately 80 nucleotides in length. Their secondary structure includes four short double-helical elements and three loops (D, anti-codon, and T loops). Further hydrogen bonds mediate the characteristic L-shaped molecular structure. tRNAs have two regions of fundamental functional importance: the anti-codon, which is responsible for specific mRNA codon recognition, and the 3' end, to which the tRNAs corresponding amino acid is attached (by aminoacyl-tRNA synthetases). tRNAs cope with the degeneracy of the genetic code in two manners: having more than one tRNA (with a specific anti-codon) for a particular amino acid; and 'wobble' base-pairing, i.e. permitting non-standard base-pairing at the 3rd anti-codon position.
Source: RNAcentral
GCUGCCUUAGCUCAGUUGGUAGAGCGGUCGUCUCGUAAGCUACAGGUCGCGUGUUCGAUCCACGCAGGCAGCUC